GACGAACGCUGGCGGCGUGCUUAACACAUGCAAGUCGAACGAAGAGCGAUGGAAGCUUGCUUCUAUCAAUCUUAGUGGCGAACGGGUGAGUAACGCGUAAUCAACCUGCCCUUCAGAGGGGGACAACAGUUGGAAACGACUGCUAAUACCGCAUACGAUCUAAUCUCGGCAUCGAGGAUAGAUGAAAGGUGGCCUCUACAUGUAAGCUAUCACUGAAGGAGGGGAUUGAGUCUGAUUAGCUAGUUGGAGGGGUAACGGCCCACCAAGGCGAUGAUCAGUAGCCGGUCUGAGAGGAUGAACGGCCACAUUGGGACUGAGACACGGCCCAGACUCCUACGGGAGGCAGCAGUGGGGAAUCUUCCGCAAUGGACGAAAGUCUGACGGAGCAACGCCGCGUGAGUGAUGGCGGCCUUCGGGUUGUAAAGCUCUGUUAAUCGGGACGAAAGGCCUUCUUGCGAAUAGUGAGAAGGAUUGACGGUACCGGAAGAGAAAGCCACGGCUAACUACGUG
Molecule: ribosomal RNA, 510 nt
Filed under: uncultured bacterium
Lineage: Bacteria
Description: partial 16S ribosomal RNA
Rfam family: Bacterial small subunit ribosomal RNA
Source: RNAcentral